RNAcentral lists this ribosomal RNA (1118 nucleotides) under Cutibacterium granulosum. Its description in RNAcentral is "bacterial SSU rRNA". It matches the Rfam family "Bacterial small subunit ribosomal RNA", at positions 63 to 1199 of the family's 1533-position model. Lineage: Bacteria; Bacillati; Actinomycetota; Actinomycetes; Propionibacteriales; Propionibacteriaceae. The record is from RNAcentral.
CGUACCAGUAAUAGCCCUUAACGGGGGUACACGAGUGGCGAACGGGUGAGUAACACGUGAGUAACCUGCCCACAACUUUGGGAUAACGCUAGGAAACUGGUGCUAAUACUGGAUAUGUGCUCCUGCUGCAUGGUGGGGGUUGGAAAGCUCCGGCGGUUGUGGAUGGACUCGCGGCCUAUCAGCUUGUUGGUGGGGUAGUGGCCUACCAAGGCGGCGACGGGUAGCCGGCCUGAGAGGGUGACCGGCCACAUUGGGACUGAGAUACGGCCCAGACUCCUACGGGAGGCAGCAGUGGGGAAUAUUGCACAAUGGGCGCAAGCCUGAUGCAGCAACGCCGCGUGCGGGAUGACGGCCUUCGGGUUGUAAACCGCUUUCAGCAGGGACGAAGCUUUUUGUGACGGUACCUGCAGAAGAAGCACCGGCUAACUACGUGCCAGCAGCCGCGGUGAUACGUAGGGUGCGAGCGUUGUCCGGAUUUAUUGGGCGUAAAGGGCUCGUAGGCGGUUGAUCGCGUCGGAAGUGGAAACUUGAUGCUUAACGUUGAGCGUGCUUUCGAUACGGGUUGACUUGAGGAAGGUAGGGGAGAAUGGAAUUCCUGGUGGAGCGGUGGAAUGCGCAGAUAUCAGGAGGAACACCAGUGGCGAAGGCGGUUCUCUGGACCUUUCCUGACGCUGAGGAGCGAAAGCGUGGGGAGCGAACAGGCUUAGAUACCCUGGUAGUCCACGCUGUAAACGGUGGGUACUAGGUGUGGGGUCCAUUCCACGGAUUCUGUGCCGUAGCUAACGCAUUAAGUACCCCGCCUGGGGAGUACGGCCGCAAGGCUAAAACUCAAAGGAAUUGACGGGGCCCCGCACAAGCGGCGGAGCAUGCGGAUUAAUUCGAUGCAACGCGAAGAACCUUACCUGGGUUUGACAUGGAUCGGGAGCUUCCAGAGAUGGUUGUGCCUCUUUUGGGGUCGGUUCACAGGUGGUGCAUGGCUGUCGUCAGCUCGUGUCGUGAGAUGUUGGGUUAAGUCCCGCAACGAGCGCAACCCUCGUCACUGUGCCAGCAAUUCGGUUGGGGAACUCAGUGAGACGCGGGGUCACUCGGAGAGUGGGGAUGACGUCAGUCAUCAUGCC